This is a long non-coding RNA of Arabidopsis lyrata subsp. lyrata, 414 nucleotides long. RefSeq lists it as uncharacterized. The transcript is spliced from 2 exons. NCBI's taxonomy places the organism in Eukaryota, Viridiplantae, Streptophyta, Magnoliopsida, Brassicales, Brassicaceae. The record is from RefSeq and is a predicted model, not a curated record.
UCGAAUCUAUGUUUCUUGAUUGAAUCUGAUCUCAGGUUUAUGUGUUUUUUUAUGAAACUCUAGUUUAUGUUUGUGUCUGACGACGAGGAGACCUAUAUAUAUAUACAAAACAGAGAGAGACAGAGAGGGCGACUAAAGGCGCGUGGAGACUGAUGAUCAUGAUGUGUUUUUUCUUUUAUCUUUUCUUUCUUAUCUUUUUGAUCAUCAUGAUGUGUUUUUUCUUUUAUCUUUUUUUUGCUAAAAUGGAGACUGAUGUGUUAAAUUAUAGAGAAAUCCAAUAAUUUGUAAUUUCUCUUUUUGUUAUUAAUUUUUUUUUUUUUUUCUAGUCCUUACGGUACAACAAUUUGUAAAAUUAACUUUCGAUAUAUUAUUUUAACCACAGUGUAUGUGAUCAAACAUGAAACUUCAGUUUUU